RNAcentral lists this long non-coding RNA (901 nucleotides) under Anser brachyrhynchus (Pink-footed goose). RNAcentral describes it as "lncRNA (ENSABRG00000006732.1)". Lineage: Eukaryota; Metazoa; Chordata; Aves; Anseriformes; Anatidae. The record is from RNAcentral.
UGUCUUUCUCAUCUUUCAUUUCUCAAUUUCUCAUUUCAGUUUUGACUUGCUCUUAUGUUUUGAACAGAUUUUUAUUCUCUACUCUUGAAUAACACUUCUGAAAAAGCUUCUUGUUUGUAUAAAUGCUACCUGCGCUAGUACAGUAUGCAUCCUUGUAACAGCUUCGUGUUUCCUUGCAGACGGGGGAUAACAUUUUUACUACUGAUAAUGGAGACGAGAGUUCUUUAAUUCAUGAGCUUUUUGAAAGGUUUCCAAGAAUACCAGGCAAGGAAAUGAAAUCUGCAUCCCAAGGAAAUGAUCCCUUUCCAAAAUUGUUAAUCUUUCCUUAUGACAUGUUUUGGAAUACAAAUGUAUCCAGAGGGGGUUUAUUCAGCAAUAUGUUGUGUUCAUGAAUAAUAUGGAUGCAAUCUGGCCCUGUCAUGUAAGACUAUAAAAACAGACAAGCGAAACAGACUUGCUUAGAAUCACAGGAAAGGCUCUGCAGUCCUUUCACAAGAUCUGUCCAGAACUAAGCUAAACAACUCAUUGGAGAGCAUACUGCAGGGAGUCAUUACGAACUGGCAGAAGAGAUGGACAAGAUGACCUAAUGGGUUUUUUCCAUCUGAUUUCUGUGAUUCUGUAAUUCCAUCUUGAUAUGUGACCAGAAGAGUUGACAGUUACAUCUGCAGUCUCUCAUAAAGUUACUGACUCUGCCCACGGAAUAGAUACAAAAUUUUUAAGGGGAAAACAUCAGAUGUGUAUUAGAAAUAGAGGGUCGGUGUCAAGUUUGGAUUGAGAAUUCUCCUGAAAAGCCAUAAAUGCUUUCAUUGCAUCUUCAUUCCCAAAGAUUGGUCUUAGUUUAAAAGCACAGUGAAGAUGUGACCAGAUAUUAUGCAGAAAGAUAGCGCAUUAAAAUAAAAUU